AGUGAACGCUGGCGGUAGGCCUAACACAUGCAAGUCGAACGGCAGCACAGUAAGAGCUUGCUCUUACGGGUGGCGAGUGGCGGACGGGUGAGGAAUACAUCGGAAUCUACUUUUUCGUGGGGGAUAACGUAGGGAAACUUACGCUAAUACCGCAUACGACCUACGGGUGAAAGCAGGGGAUCUUCGGACCUUGCGCGAUUGAAUGAGCCGAUGUCGGAUUAGCUAGUUGGCGGGGUAAAGGCCCACCAAGGCGACGAUCCGUAGCUGGUCUGAGAGGAUGAUCAGGCACACUGGAACUGAGACACGGUCCAGACUCCUACGGAAGGCAGCAGUGGGGAAUAUUGGACAAUGGGCGCAAGCCUGAUCCAGCCAUACCGCGUGGGUGAAGAAGGCCUUCGGGUUGUAAAGCCCUUUUGUUGGGAAAGAAAAGCAGCAGGUUAAUACCCCGCUGUUCUGACGGUACCCAAAGAAUAAGCACCGGCUAACUUCGUG
This 492-nucleotide ribosomal RNA is filed under the name uncultured bacterium. Its description in RNAcentral is "partial 16S ribosomal RNA". It matches the Rfam family "Bacterial small subunit ribosomal RNA", at positions 29 to 507 of the family's 1533-position model. The record is from RNAcentral.